Eptesicus fuscus (big brown bat) is the source of this 674-nucleotide long non-coding RNA. RefSeq lists it as uncharacterized. NCBI's taxonomy places the organism in Eukaryota, Metazoa, Chordata, Mammalia, Chiroptera, Vespertilionidae. The transcript is spliced from 3 exons. The record is from RefSeq and is a predicted model, not a curated record.
CCACGCAGGCCCUGAUUUAGGAGGAGGAAGGGCUAACGAGCUCCCAGGUGAUGCCAAGGCUGCUGGUCCAGGGACCACACCUUGAGGAGAGAAGCUCUACAGACACUGGACGAGACGGGACGCCUUGAGGCCAGGGGUCAGCCCGGCUGGAGCGUCCUGGAAGGAAGGUGGAAGGCCCAGGAGGGGCUGGGAAAGUGUGGCUGGCAGCCCCCAGCCCCCACCGCCUCCUGCCUCCUGCUUCCUGCUUCAGAGAAGACGAGAACUACCCGAUUCUGUAUUCUUCAAAAAAUGGCAGUGUCAUGAAUCACAGAGAAAGACUCAGGAAUAAUUCCAGAUUGAAGGAGCCGAAGGAGACGUGACAAUGAGUGCAAGGCGUGAGCGCACAUUAUGGGGACAAUUUACAAAAUGUCAAUAGCUUAAACAACAAUGACAUUUCAAUGCUGACUUCCUAAUUUUCCUACCUGUACUUGGUUAAAUAAGAGAAUUCCUUAUUUUUAGGAAAUAUACAAUGAAGUAAUAGGAGCAAAGUGUUUGCUAUCUACUCAAACAGUCAGAAAAAAAAUGCCUAUGUAUAUGGAGAGAGAAAGCAGGACAACACAAUGUAGUAAAAUAACAUUUGGAGAAUCUAGUUGAAUGGCAUUUAAAAAGUAUUUUUACUACUCUUGUAACUUUUC